This is a non-coding RNA of Ailuropoda melanoleuca (giant panda), 83 nucleotides long. NCBI's taxonomy places the organism in Eukaryota, Metazoa, Chordata, Mammalia, Carnivora, Ursidae. The record is from Rfam.
CAUUAGUAGGCCUCAGUAAAUGUUUAUUGGAUGAAUAAAUGAAUGAGUCAUCAACAAACAUUUAUCGUGUGCCUGCUAAGGUG